CUCCAUCCGGAUGAGCCAUCUGGAUGGAGAUGAGAGUUUUGUUAGUUUAGACACUAAGAGUAUAACUCAUCCAGAUGGAUCAUCCGGAUGACAUUUGAAAUUUUAGGUUUAAUUUCAGAAACCAGCUGGUUGGACCAAAUCGAACCAGCUGACUGGAGAUGGCUCAGCCAAAAUAUCAAAAUGUCAAUUUUACCCUCAUAAAAUACUGAAAUUACAAACCUAAUUAAAAUCUCUCGUAUCUCUCUAUGCCGUCAACGACACUUCCACAUCUCUCUCUUUCGCCAUGAAAUCCCCAUGAAAGCUUGAGCUCUCUCUCUCUCUCUCCACCUCUCUAUCUCCGCCUCUCUCUCUCUCCGCGUCUCUCUCACCACAGCUCACUCUCUCUCAAGUAUAUCUCUCGCACUCUCUCACACUC
Molecule: long non-coding RNA, 415 nt
Filed under: Brassica napus (rape)
Lineage: Eukaryota; Viridiplantae; Streptophyta; Magnoliopsida; Brassicales; Brassicaceae
Description: long non-coding RNA (BNAP_LNC000815)
Source: RNAcentral